Sebastes umbrosus (honeycomb rockfish) is the source of this 152-nucleotide long non-coding RNA. RefSeq lists it as uncharacterized. The transcript has 3 exons. NCBI's taxonomy places the organism in Eukaryota, Metazoa, Chordata, Actinopteri, Perciformes, Sebastidae. The record is from RefSeq and is a predicted model, not a curated record.
GUUUUGAUGCCUAAACCUAAACAAGUCGAUCUAUUCCUAAACCUAACAAGGUAGUUUUAUUUUGAAAAUACUGGAGCGGAAAUUAACACGUGCGUCACUUGUUGCUGGACAUUCGUAGGAAAAAGCACGAAAAAUACUUUGUUGAAAGUCGU